Oryza barthii is the source of this 204-nucleotide non-coding RNA. The record is from Rfam. NCBI's taxonomy places the organism in Eukaryota, Viridiplantae, Streptophyta, Magnoliopsida, Poales, Poaceae.
AAAAAGACAAACUCGGUUUCCGUGUCCAACGUUUUUUCGUUCGUCUUAUUUGAAAAAAUUAUAAAAAAAAAUUAAAAAAUAAGUCACGCAUAAAGUAUUAAUCAUGUUUUAUCAUCUAACAACAAUGAAAAUAUUAAUUAUAAAAAAAUUUCACAUAAGACGGACAGUCAAACGUUGGCACGAAAACUCAGGGUUUACCCUUUU